RNAcentral lists this ribosomal RNA (714 nucleotides) under uncultured Actinomycetales bacterium. Its description in RNAcentral is "bacterial SSU rRNA". It matches the Rfam family "Bacterial small subunit ribosomal RNA", at positions 65 to 791 of the family's 1533-position model. Lineage: Bacteria; Bacillati; Actinomycetota; Actinomycetes; Actinomycetales. The record is from RNAcentral.
AACGGAAAGGCUCCAGCUUGCUGGAGUGCUCGAGUGGCGAACGGGUGAGUAACACGUGGGCAAUCUGCCCUGCACUCUGGGAUAAGCCUGGGAAACUGGGUCUAAUACCGGAUAGGACCUUUCUCCUCAUGGGGUUUGGUGGAAAGUUUUUCGGUGCAGGAUGAGCCCGCGGCCUAUCAGCUUGUUGGUGGGGUAAUGGCCUACCAAGGCGACGACGGGUAGCCGGCCUGAGAGGGUGAUCGGCCACAUUGGGACUGAGAUACGGCCCAGACUCCCACGGGAGGCAGCAGUGGGGAAUAUUGCACAAUGGGCGAAAGCCUGAUGCAGCGACGCCGCGUGAGGGAUGACGGCCUUCGGGUUGUAAACCUCUUUCAGUAGGGACGAAGCGCAAGUGACGGUACCUGCAGAAGAAGCACCGGCUAACUACGUGCCAGCAGCCGCGGUAAUACGUAGGGUGCGAGCGUUGUCCGGAAUUACUGGGCGUAAAGAGCUCGUAGGCGGUUUGUCACGUCGUCUGUGAAAUCCUUGGGCUUAACCCUGGACGUGCAGGCGAUACGGGCUGACUUGAGUACUACAGGGGAGACUGGAAUUUCUGGUGUAGCGGUGGAAUGCACAGAUAUCAGGAAGAACACCGAUGGCGAAGGCAGGUCUCUGGGUAGUAACUGACGCUGAGGAGCGAAAGCAUGGGUAGCGAACAGGAUUAGAUACCCUGGU